RNAcentral lists this ribosomal RNA (440 nucleotides) under uncultured bacterium. RNAcentral's name for it is "partial 16S ribosomal RNA". It matches the Rfam family "Bacterial small subunit ribosomal RNA", at positions 338 to 795 of the family's 1533-position model. The record is from RNAcentral.
CCUACGGGAGGCAGCAGUGGGGGAUAUUGCACAAUGGGGGAAACCCUGAUGCAGCGACGCCGCGUGUGGGAAGACGGUCCUCUGGAUUGUAAACCACUGUCCCCAGGGACGAAGAUGACGGUACCUGGGGAUGAAGCUCCGGCUAACUACGUGCCAGCAGCCGCGGUAAUACGUAGGGCGCGCGCGUUGUCCGGAAUUACUGGGUGUAAGGGGAGCGGAGGCGGGACUGCAAGUUGGGUGUCAAAUCUACCGGCUCAACCGGUAGCCGCACUCAAAACUGCAGUUCUUGAGUGAAGUAGAGGCAGGCGGAAUUCCUAGUGUAGCGGUGAAAUGCGUAGAUAUUAGGAGGAACACCAGUGGCGAAGGCGGCCUGCUGGGCUUUUACUGACGCUGAGGCUCGAAAGUGUGGGGAGCAAACAGGAUUAGAUACCCUGGUAGUC